CGAGCGGACAGAAGGGAGCUUGCUCCCGGAUGUUAGCGGCGGACGGGUGAGUAACACGUGGGUAACCUGCCUGUAAGACUGGGAUAACUCCGGGAAACCGGAGCUAAUACCGGAUAGUUCCUUGAACCGCAUGGUUCAAGGAUGAAAGACGGUUUCGGCUGUCACUUACAGAUGGACCCGCGGCGCAUUAGCUAGUUGGUGGGGUAAUGGCUCACCAAGGCGACGAUGCGUAGCCGACCUGAGAGGGUGAUCGGCCACACUGGGACUGAGACACGGCCCAGACUCCUACGGGAGGCAGCAGUAGGGAAUCUUCCGCAAUGGACGAAAGUCUGACGGAGCAACGCCGCGUGAGUGAUGAAGGUUUUCGGAUCGUAAAGCUCUGUUGUUAGGGAAGAACAAGUGCGAGAGUAACUGCUCGCACCUUGACGGUCCCUAACCAGAAAGCCACGGCUAACUACGUGCCAGCAGCCGCGUUAAUACGUAUGUGGCAAGCGUUGUCCGGAGUUAUGGUCGUACAGGUCUCUCAGGCAGUUUCUUAGGUCUGAUGUGAAAGCGCGCGGCUCA
Molecule: ribosomal RNA, 564 nt
Filed under: Bacillus safensis
Lineage: Bacteria; Bacillati; Bacillota; Bacilli; Caryophanales; Bacillaceae
Description: bacterial SSU rRNA
Rfam family: Bacterial small subunit ribosomal RNA
Source: RNAcentral